RNAcentral lists this ribosomal RNA (681 nucleotides) under bacterium. RNAcentral describes it as "bacterial SSU rRNA". It matches the Rfam family "Bacterial small subunit ribosomal RNA", at positions 72 to 745 of the family's 1533-position model. The record is from RNAcentral.
AAAGUAGCUUGCUACUUUUGCCGGCGAGUGGCGAACGGGUGAGUAAUGUAUCGGAACGUGCCCAGUAGCGGGGGAUAACUACGCGAAAGCGUGGCUAAUACCGCAUACGCCCUACGGGGGAAAGGGGGGGAUCUUAGGACCUCUCACUAUUGGAGCGGCCGAUAUCGGAUUAGCUAGUUGGUGGGGUAAAGGCCUACCAAGGCGACGAUCCGUAGCUGGUUUGAGAGGACGACCAGCCACACUGGGACUGAGACACGGCCCAGACUCCUACGGGAGGCAGCAGUGGGGAAUUUUGGACAAUGGGGGAAACCCUGAUCCAGCCAUCCCGCGUGUGCGAUGAAGGCCUUCGGGUUGUAAAGCACUUUUGUCAGGGAAGAAAAGGUUUCGGAUAAUACCCGGAACUGAUGACGGUACCUGAAGAAUAAGCACCGGCUAACUACGUGCCAGCAGCCGCGGUAAUACGUAGGGUGCAAGCGUUAAUCGGAAUUACUGGGCGUAAAGCGUGCGCAGGCGGUUCGGAAAGAAAGAUGUGAAAUCCCAGGGCUCAACCUUGGAACUGCAUUUUUAACUACCGAACUAGAGUAUGUCAGAGGGGGGUGGAAUUCCACGUGUAGCAGUGAAAUGCGUAGAUAUGUGGAGGAACACCGAUGGCGAAGGCAGCCCCCUGGGAUAAUACUGACG